Otolemur garnettii (small-eared galago) is the source of this 119-nucleotide ribosomal RNA. Lineage: Eukaryota; Metazoa; Chordata; Mammalia; Primates; Galagidae. The record is from Ensembl.
GUCUAUGGCCCUACCACCUUGAACACAUUUGAUCUCAUCUGCUCCCAGACUCUAAAACAGAUUAUGCCUGGUUAAUACUAAAAUGGGAAACCACCUGGAAAUACAAGGUAUUAUAGGCU